RNAcentral lists this ribosomal RNA (253 nucleotides) under uncultured bacterium. RNAcentral describes it as "partial 16S ribosomal RNA". It matches the Rfam family "Bacterial small subunit ribosomal RNA", at positions 524 to 776 of the family's 1533-position model. The record is from RNAcentral.
UACGUAGGGUCCGAGCGUUGUCCGGAAUUACUGGGCGUAAAGAGCUCGUAGGUGGUUUGUCGCGUUGUUCGUGAAAACUCACAGCUCAACUGUGGGCGUGCGGGCGAUACGGGCAGACUAGAGUACUGCAGGGGAGACUGGAAUUCCUGGUGUAGCGGUGGAAUGCGCAGAUAUCAGGAGGAACACCGGUGGCGAAGGCGGGUCUCUGGGCAGUAACUGACGCUGAGGAGCGAAAGCGUGGGGAUCAAACAGG